GCUCCAGAAUCCUUACCCUUCUGACCUAAUCAAUGGUCUCAGGGAUUCUAAAAGGCCAAAAAGAAAAACAGGAAUGGACUUGGACUCUUUUGAGACAUGGCAGUUGGUUUCAAACAAAC
RNAcentral lists this small nucleolar RNA (119 nucleotides) under Echinops telfairi (small Madagascar hedgehog). Its description in RNAcentral is "Small nucleolar RNA SNORA61 (ENSETEG00000026479.1)". The record is from RNAcentral. Lineage: Eukaryota; Metazoa; Chordata; Mammalia; Afrosoricida; Tenrecidae.